RNAcentral lists this unclassified non-coding RNA (211 nucleotides) under plant metagenome. Its description in RNAcentral is "partial contains small subunit ribosomal RNA, internal transcribed spacer 1, and 5.8S ribosomal RNA". The record is from RNAcentral.
UUUCCGUAGGUGAACUUGCGGAAGGAUCAUUCGUAAUAAAGUGUUUUAUGGCACUUUUUAAAAAUCCAUAUCCACCUUGUGUGCAAUGUUAGAUCUCGUCAAUCUUGGCGAGAUUUUUAUACAUCAACUCAUUCUUUAACUAAUUUGUCUGAAAAAUAUUAUGAAUACUUAAUUCAAAAUACAACUUUCAACAACGGAUCUCUUGGCUCUC